UACGGGGGGGGCAAGCGUUGUUCGGAAUUACUGGGCGUAAAGGGCUCGUAGGCGGCCAACUAAGUCAGACGUGAAAUCCCUCGGCUUAACCGGGGAACUGCAUCUGAUACUGGAUGGCUUGAGUUCGGGAGAGGGAUGCGGAAUUCCAGGUGUAGCGGUGAAAUGCGUAGAUAUCUGGAGGAACACCUGUGGCGAAAGCGGCUCACUGGACCAUUACUGACGCUGAGGCACGAAAGCUAGGGGAGCAAACAGG
This 253-nucleotide ribosomal RNA is filed under the name uncultured bacterium. Its description in RNAcentral is "partial 16S ribosomal RNA". It matches the Rfam family "Bacterial small subunit ribosomal RNA", at positions 524 to 776 of the family's 1533-position model. The record is from RNAcentral.